AAUAGAUACCCAGGUAGUCCACGCCGUAAACGAUGAGUGCUAAGUGUUGGGGGGUUUCCGCCCCUCAGUGCUGCAGCUAACGCAUUAAGCACUCCGCCUGGGGAGUACGGUCGCAAGACUGAAACUCAAAGGAAUUGACGGGGGCCCGCACAAGCGGUGGAGCAUGUGGUUUAAUUCGAAGCAACGCGAAGAACCUUACCAGGUCUUGACAUCCCGGUGACCACUAUGGAGACAUAGUUUCCCCUUCGGGGGCAACGGUGACAGGUGGUGCAUGGUUGUCGUCAGCUCGUGUCGUGAGAUGUUGGGUUAAGUCCCGCAACGAGCGCAACCCUUAUUCUUAGUUGCCAUCAUUUCAGUUGGGCACUCUAAGGAGACUGCCGGUGAUAAACCGGAGGAAGGUGGGGAUGACGUCAAAUCAUCAUGCCCCUUAUGACCUGGGCUACACACGUGCUACAAUGGACGGUACAAACGGUUGCCAACCCGCGAGGGGAGCUAAUCCGAUAAAACCGUUCUCAGUUCGGAUUGUAGGCUGCAACUCGCCUAC
RNAcentral lists this ribosomal RNA (544 nucleotides) under uncultured bacterium. Its description in RNAcentral is "bacterial SSU rRNA". It matches the Rfam family "Bacterial small subunit ribosomal RNA", at positions 777 to 1319 of the family's 1533-position model. The record is from RNAcentral.